CGUAGGGUGCGAGCGUUAAUCGGAAUUACUGGGCGUAAAGCGUGCGCAGGCGGUUAUGUAAGACAGAUGUGAAAUCCCCGGGCUCAACCUGGGACCUGCAUUUGUGACUGCAUAGCUAGAGUACGGUAGAGGGGGAUGGAAUUCCGCGUGUAGCAGUGAAAUGCGUAGAUAUGCGGAGGAACACCGAUGGCGAAGGCAAUCCCCUGGACCUGUACUGACGCUCAUGCACGAAAGCGUGGGGAGCAAACAGGAUUAGAUACCCUGGUAGUCCACGCCCUAAACGAUGUCAACUGGUUGUUGGGUCUUCACUGACUCAGUAACGAAGCUAACGCGUGAAGUUGACCGCCUGGGGGAGUACGGCCGCAAGGUUG
Molecule: ribosomal RNA, 371 nt
Filed under: uncultured organism
Description: bacterial SSU rRNA
Rfam family: Bacterial small subunit ribosomal RNA
Source: RNAcentral